This 328-nucleotide ribosomal RNA is filed under the name uncultured bacterium. RNAcentral describes it as "bacterial SSU rRNA". It matches the Rfam family "Bacterial small subunit ribosomal RNA", at positions 184 to 507 of the family's 1533-position model. The record is from RNAcentral.
GGAGUAACAUCCCCGGAUCAAAGGUGUGAUUCCGCCUGAGGAUGAGUCCGCGUCCUAUUAGCUUGUUGGUGGGGUAAUGGCCUACCAAGGCUGUGAUGGGUACCGGGUGUGAGAGCAUGGCCCGGCUCACUGGGACUGAGACACAGCCCAGACACCUACGGGUGGCUGCAGUCGAGAAUCUUCGGCAAUGGGCGCAAGCCUGACCGAGCGACGCCGCGUGCGGGAUGAAGGCCUUCGGGUUGUAAACCGCUGUCAGUUGGGAGGAAAUCCCACGGGGUUCUCCCCGCGGGUUGACCGAUCUUCAGAGGAAGUACGGGCUAAGUUCGUG